CCUACGGGUGGCAGCAGUGGGGAAUAUUGGACAAUGGGCGCAAGCCUGAUCCAGCAAUGCCGCGUGAGUGAUGAAGGCCUUAGGGUUGUAAAGCUCUUUCGCACGCGACGAUGAUGACGGUAGCGUGAGAAGAAGCCCCGGCUAACUUCGUGCCAGCAGCCGCGGUAAUACGAAGGGGGCUAGCGUUGUUCGGAAUUACUGGGCGUAAAGGGCGCGUAGGCGGCCUGUUAAGUUAGGAGUGAAAGCCCCGGGCUCAACCUGGGAAUUGCUCUUAAUACUGGCAGGCUUGAGUUCCGGAGAGGAUGGUGGAAUUCCCAGUGUAGAGGUGAAAUUCGUAGAUAUUGGGAAGAACACCGGUGGCGAAGGCGGCCAUCUGGACGGACACUGACGCUGAGGCGCGAAAGCGUGGGGAGCAAACAGGAUUAGAUACCCCUGUAGUC
This 440-nucleotide ribosomal RNA is filed under the name uncultured Azospirillum sp. Its description in RNAcentral is "bacterial SSU rRNA". It matches the Rfam family "Bacterial small subunit ribosomal RNA", at positions 338 to 795 of the family's 1533-position model. Lineage: Bacteria; Pseudomonadati; Pseudomonadota; Alphaproteobacteria; Rhodospirillales; Azospirillaceae. The record is from RNAcentral.